AGUGAUUUAGUUUAACGGCCGCGGUAUCUUGACCGUGCAAAGGUAGCACAAUUUAAUUGUCCUCUAAAUAAGGACUAGUAUGAACGGCAUCACGAGGGUUUAACUGUCUCCCUACUUUAAUCAAUAAAAUUGAUCUUCCCGUGAAGAAGCGGGAAUAUAAAUAUAAGACGAAAAGACCCCAUGGAGCUUUAAACUUAUCAUCACUUAUCAAAAACUUUAACAUACAUUGAUAAAUAUGAGAGAUAGUUUUCGGUUGGGGCGACCCUGGAGAAAAACUAAUCCUCCAAGCUGUAAAAUAUAAAUAUGCUAGAACAACCACUCAAACAAUCAAAACCUUGACAAAAUGACCCAGAAUAUAUCUGAUCAACGAACCAAGUUACCCUGGGGAUAACAGCGCAAUCCAUUUCAAGAGCCCCUAUCGACAAAUGGGUUUACGACCUCGAUGUUGGAU
RNAcentral lists this ribosomal RNA (451 nucleotides) under Hyperolius ocellatus (golden-eyed reed frog). Its description in RNAcentral is "partial 16S ribosomal RNA". It matches the Rfam family "Bacterial large subunit ribosomal RNA", at positions 1911 to 2537 of the family's 2925-position model. The record is from RNAcentral. Lineage: Eukaryota; Metazoa; Chordata; Amphibia; Anura; Hyperoliidae.